GACGAACGCUGGCGGCGUGCUUAACACAUGCAAGUCGAACGGAAAGGCCCCCACUUUUUUGGUGGGGGUGCUCGAGUGGCGAACGGGUGAGUAACACGUGGGUGAUCUGCCCUGUACUUCGGGAUAAGCUUGGGAAACUGGGUCUAAUACCGGAUAGGACCAUGGUUUAGUGUCUCAUGGUGGAAAAAUUAUUGUUUUGGUGCAGGAUGAGCUCGCGGCCUAUCAGCUUGUUGGUGGGGUAAUGGCCUACCAAGGCGUCGACGGGUAGCCGGCCUGAGAGGGUGGACGGCCACAUUGGGACUGAGAUACGGCCCAGACUCCUACGGGAGGCAGCAGUGGGGAAUAUUGCACAAGGGGCGCAAGCCUGAUGCAGCGACGCCGCGUGGGGGAUGACGGCCUUCGGGUUGGAAACUCCUUUCGUUAGGGACGAAGCCGCACCUUUUUUGGGUGUGGUGACGGUACCUUUGUUAAGAAGCACCGGCUAACUACGUG
Molecule: ribosomal RNA, 492 nt
Filed under: uncultured bacterium
Lineage: Bacteria
Description: partial 16S ribosomal RNA
Rfam family: Bacterial small subunit ribosomal RNA
Source: RNAcentral